ACUCAGCUGUUUGCUAUUAGGGCUGGAGCAGUAGCAGUGAGAAAUUCAUUGCUGCUUGGUCUCCGAAUCCUGACACAGUAACAGCGCAGACCCAACCAGCCAAAUCCACAAAGGAUCAAGGGAAGGGGAAAAAGAGAGCAACAAUCUUUUGAGCGCUUGCCGUCUCUCUUAUAUUGCACCUUUCAUCCCCGAGGAGCCGAUUUACCGAUGGUCUGACUCUGCCCCAUUCCUGCAGAGGCUUACGCUACAUUGCAUUAGAAGACAGGGCCUCUGCUUAUACCAGAAAACUUCAGGAGCACAUCUGCUGAAGUACCAGGAACCACUGAAGAUGGAGAUCAUGCCAGUGGUCAUCACCAGCCAAACAUCCCCACAGAGCUGGAGCAGCACAACUGAAGGGCUGGCAAGCUGUGACACCAGAGUACCAGAACCUCCCGCAGUGGGGCAGAGCCAGAGGAUCAGCUGAUGUUGGCUUCAUACUGGAAGGAAACCUAACACCUGAGUCCGGAAAUUCUGGUGCCAUCACACUGCCCAAGAUAGAAGAAGAAUUCCAAGAGUUGCAAGAGGCAGAAGCUUUCAGCUUUGUUACUUUCCUGGAAAACACAGAAUUCUUUUUGCACUUUCAUCCGAGAUGAAUAAACAAAAUAAAUUGCAUCCCACAUCAAACUGAAAA
This is a long non-coding RNA of Gallus gallus (chicken), 670 nucleotides long. RefSeq lists it as uncharacterized. The record is from RefSeq and is a predicted model, not a curated record. The transcript has 4 exons. Lineage: Eukaryota; Metazoa; Chordata; Aves; Galliformes; Phasianidae.